CUUAAGUGGCGAACGGGUGAGUAACGCGUGAGUAACCUGCCCUGGAGUGGGGGGACAACAGUUGGAAACGACUGCUAAUACCGCAUAAGCCCACGGAUCCGCAUGGAUCUGCGGGAAAAGGAUUUAUUCGCUUCAGGAUGGACUCGCGUCCAAUUAGCUAGUUGGUGAGGUAACGGCCCACCAAGGCGACGAUUGGUAGCCGGACUGAGAGGUUGAACGGCCACAUUGGGACUGAGACACGGCCCAGACUCCUACGGGAGGCAGCAUG
RNAcentral lists this ribosomal RNA (268 nucleotides) under uncultured bacterium. Its description in RNAcentral is "partial 16S ribosomal RNA". It matches the Rfam family "Bacterial small subunit ribosomal RNA", at positions 90 to 353 of the family's 1533-position model. The record is from RNAcentral.